Molecule: ribosomal RNA, 497 nt
Filed under: uncultured bacterium
Lineage: Bacteria
Description: partial 16S ribosomal RNA
Rfam family: Bacterial small subunit ribosomal RNA
Source: RNAcentral
GAUGAACGCUGGCGGCGUGCCUAAUACAUGCAAGUCGAGCGAACGGACGAGAAGCUUGCUUUUCUGAUGUUAGCGGCGGACGGGUGAGUAACACGUGGAUAACCUACCUAUAAGACUGGGAUAACUUCGGGAAACCGGAGCUAAUACCGGAUAAUAUUUUGAACCGCAUGGUUCAAAAGUGAAAGACGGUCUUGCUGUCACUUAUAGAUGGAUCCGCGCUGCAUUAGCUAGUUGGUGAGGUAACGGCUUACCAAGGCAACGAUGCAUAGCCGACCUGAGGGGGUGAUCGGCCACACUGGAACUGAGACACGGUCCAGACUCCUACGGGAGGCAGCAGUAGGGAAUCUUCCGCAAUGGGCGAAAGCCUGACGGAGCAACGCCGCGUGAGUGAUGAAGGUCUUCGGAUCGUAAAACUCUGUUAUUAGGGAAGAACAUAUGUGUAAGUAACUGUGCACAUCUUGACGGUACCUAAUCAGAAAGCCACGGCUAACUACGUG